CAUAUGUAUCCCAUCAAAUGUUACAUGUAUUUUGUUGGAUAAAGAGAAUGAAUGAAUUUGAAAUUAUUUCUUUUAAUUUCAAUAUGAUGAUUUGUAAUUACAAACNUUGGAUUGUCUGGAAAGUGGAACAUAAAGAACAUUAACUAAUUUUUUAAUCCUUUUAUUGGGUCUCUAAACCUGACCGUUCGAUAAGUAUUCCCAUUAUAUGUUUGCGGAUGUGCAUGCAGAAACUUCAUUAUAUGGAUUCUACAACGCAUGGUCAUGUUUCAACCAUGAAAUUGGGAAGAAUGAAUGUUAUAAUUAUCCUGGAAAAGGAUUCUUGAUUUUAUGUCUUUAAAAUAAUUUGCUGAGCUGUUCAUUUAACUGUUUCUAGGAGUUUCAAUGGGGAGGAUUCUUUUAAUAUUAAGCUCCAUCCAUAUUUUCUCUCUGAUACAAAUGAAUGUCACUGUCACCAUUUCCUUUCUUGUGCCCAUGUCAUUAUGUUAGGGCUGCAUGGAAUUUUCCUUAUGUUAUUAAUAUUUANGCAUUAGGGUUCUUGACAACUUGAAAGAUUAUGCUGUAAGAGCCCUUGUGAAUGCUGUUGAUCAUCUAGGAACGGUUGCAUACAAACAUUAGAUGUCUCAACCAUGGAUUUGAAGGUCGCUACCAUAAAUCAGUUCAUGUUCAUUAAUGAUUGGGUAGACACCUAAUUCUUCAAUUAUUGGUGUGAAACUGGAGAUCAUAGGUUGGUUUGCUAGAAAGUAAAUGUUUGUUUGUGAACGUGAACUGUCACUGGGCAUGACUGCUGGUCCUGGUUUUAGGAUUUGAGUGAUAGGCUGUUUUUGGUGCUGUGUGGGUGUAUACCACGAGAAUUAUGUGUUAAGUUAUGUGUGCACAUUAGAGGGUGGUUUACUUGUUAUAUUGAAAUGCUGCUUGUUGUCAAUGUAUGAUCCAGUCACUGUUUUAUUAAAAAUUAAUGCUAGUUUGAUAAGUAAAUGAGUCUUAAUUGGUGGUAGUGUUGUUUGUUUCUUGGAAUGUAUGUAGGCAGUGCAUGUUAGACAGAAUAAGGUCUCUUUUUGAGUGGGUAAAGGCACACUUGCUUUUNGUUACUAUAGUUAAUUUGUUAGAUCAUUAUCUUAUAAUUGCUUUGCUGUUUUUGUUUCCUGCUCACAUGUUGAUCGAUUGGAUGCAUCAUUCCCUUAAUUGUUGAUCUCAGUUUGGGGUAGUCAGAUUAUAUUUUAGUUGAACUUGAAUGGCUUGCAUGAAUUGAAUAUGUAUUGCUUGAUAGAUCAUGAAACUGAUGGUUAGGAAAUUAUUUCUUGGAGUAAAAAGAAACUGUGAGUGUAAGGGCAGCAGUCUGGUAGGUGAAAUCCCUCAUAGUUUCGUUGCUUUUGACUUUUACUGGUGUUGGAAAUUGAGUCUGAAAUUUCUGGUAUGAUGAUUGAGUGUAAUUUGCUUGCUGUCGCUGUUCUGGAAACUGUUUGGUUGGUUGCAGUAGUGUAGAAUUAUGUGUACCUUGGUGGGUUAAGACUUGUCAGGUAUGUCUGUGAAUAAAGGGAGUUGUAGUUUCAUGAUCAAUGUUACUUGCAAUCAAUACAUGAUCAAUGCACUGUUUCAUUGAAAUAAAAUUCUGGUUUAUUUAAGUAUGUGAAUUAUAGCUGAUUGAAUACUUGAGCGUGUUUUGAUCAAUGUCCUUGACAGGAGUGAAACAGUUUUGGGAUUUAAGAUAAUUGGAGUAUGUUAUGAUGUUUUCUAUUGUGUAGAGACUGGUUAUUUAUGCUAGUGGCCUUUUUGCCUAAAGUGAUGGAAGGAGAGUUGGGUGUUGGAAUAAAUUGAUUGAGUUUGUUUUUUUGUAAUUACCUAUGUUCUUGCCUUUAAUUCCUUGCUCGUGAAUGUAAUGUUGUGAUGGUAUGUGUUUCAUAUGUGAUGGAUGGAAAGUGCGUGUAAUUUUUUAUUGUUAUAACUGAUGCUUUAGAAAGAAAGUUGGGCUGAUUAGUGGUGAGCGUUGCGUGCUCAAUGUAGAUCCAUUAUAUUGUUUGUUUUCUUUGUUCAAGCAUGGAUUGGAAGCUGGCACAGGUUGUGAAAUCUGAUGCGUGUUUUGAAUAAGAGUAGAUGUCUGAAAAUAUUUUCUUGCGUAGUGGUAUUUGUUGGAAUUACUUUAUUGUAGAGGCAACUCUCUGGAUUAAUGUUGUUGGUGCAGUGAUAUUUUAUGGUUAAAAGCAGUUUCGGUAUAGUAAUCUAUGCUUUAAGUCUUGAAGGUGCAGUGUUGUUUUGAGUAUAAGUUGGGGUGUUUUCGGUGAUCUUUGUUAUGUGCAGCAUUAAAAGUAUAGUUGGAGUAUAAAUGUGUUGGUUGCUUUCGGUGCUUGGCAUAAAAUGGUUUGUGAUCAUUGUUUAAUCAAAGAAAAACAAAAGAAAAUGGGGAUUGGGGUUAGGGAGGAAUCAUGUAUCUGUGGUGAGAAGUAGUUUUCACGGUGCACAAAUAAAUGAAGAGUGGAUUUAGGUGCUUUGGUCCAGGCCAGCUGCCGGAGUUUGACAAUGCAAACUUUGGUAGAAGCUGCUGGAAUUGGUUUGAAGUGAUGGACUAGAGUAGAACCAGCUGCUGGAGUCAAUGCUUGUAACGGUGCAAUGUGUCUUUUGAUGUAGUAGUCAUUAGAUAACUAUUUGAAUUAUUUUAAGUCUUAGAGAACCUUAUUUCAAGAGCUAACGCAAGAAUAAGAGUGGUGAGGCAGUGUUAAUUGGUUGGACAGUUGGUGAGAAUUCAGUUUCCUUUUGGCUUGACUUGGUGCUUACUAUUUUGGCUAUUUUAGUUGGUUAAGUUAAUGGUUUCUGCUGGAAGCCGUCGCAUGGGAAUAACUAGAGUGUGGUGACUAUUUUGGGUUUGGGGAAAANCGUUUAUCCUGCGUUGUGAUUGUGUGUUUUGUUGAAAUGUUAGGAAACGAAACUUGCAUAAA
Long non-coding RNA from Vigna radiata var. radiata (mung bean), 2930 nucleotides. RefSeq lists it as uncharacterized. The transcript is spliced from 2 exons. The record is from RefSeq and is a predicted model, not a curated record. NCBI's taxonomy places the organism in Eukaryota, Viridiplantae, Streptophyta, Magnoliopsida, Fabales, Fabaceae.